Molecule: transfer RNA, 85 nt
Filed under: Planctomycetota bacterium
Lineage: Bacteria; Pseudomonadati; Planctomycetota
Description: Planctomycetes bacterium tRNA-Tyr
Rfam family: tRNA
About the family: Transfer RNA (tRNA) molecules are approximately 80 nucleotides in length. Their secondary structure includes four short double-helical elements and three loops (D, anti-codon, and T loops).
Source: RNAcentral
GGGGAGAUACCGAAGUGGCCAAACGGGACGGACUGUAAAUCCGUUGGCACCGCCUUCAGAGGUUCGAAUCCUCUUCUCCCCACCA